CCAAAGACAGACUAGCAGAUUUAAACUGGUCUGAACAUCCUUGGCAUAAGUGCCUUAGCAUUUAUCUUUUAUUUGAAGGUUCAUUUUGUUUAACACUCCAUAAAAAAUGAAUGUACAAUCAAUUCUUUAUUAUGCACUUCUGUAAAUAUCCAGGUACUUUCAAGUGACAUCCACUAACAUCCUUCUGCUAUCUUUCCAAGGUUGGUAGCUGUAUUUGCAUAAAAUAAGAGACCAUUUAGCAUAAAAAGAGGAAUCUAUAUGCAAAAAGCUUUUAUCUAAAAGUCA
Molecule: non-coding RNA, 285 nt
Organism: Pelobates cultripes (western spadefoot toad)
Lineage: Eukaryota; Metazoa; Chordata; Amphibia; Anura; Pelobatidae
Source: the annotation of a GenBank genome assembly